RNAcentral lists this ribosomal RNA (505 nucleotides) under uncultured bacterium. Its description in RNAcentral is "partial 16S ribosomal RNA". It matches the Rfam family "Bacterial small subunit ribosomal RNA", at positions 28 to 507 of the family's 1533-position model. The record is from RNAcentral.
GACGAACGCUGGCGGCGUGCCUAAUACAUGCAAGUAGAACGCACAGUUUAUACCGUAGCUUGCUACACCAUAGACUGUGAGUUGCGAACGGGUGAGUAACGCGUAGGUAACCUGCCUGGUAGCGGGGGAUAACUAUUGGAAACGAUAGCUAAUACCGCAUAAUAUUAAUUAUUGCAUGAUAAUUAAUUGAAAGGUGCAAUUGCACCACUACUAGAUGGACCUGCGUUGUAUUAGCUAGUAGGUGAGGUAACGGCUCACCUAGGCGACGAUACAUAGCCGACCUGAGAGGGUGAUCGGCCACACUGGGACUGAGACACGGCCCAGACUCCUACGGGAGGCAGCAGGAGGGAAUCUUCGGCAAUGGACGAAAGUCUGACCGAGCAACGCCGCGGGAGUGAAGAAGGGUUUCGGAUCGUAAAGCUCUGUUGUAAGAGAAGAACGGGUGUGAGAGUGGAAAGUUCACACUGUGACGGUAUCUUAACAGAAAGGGACGGCUAACUACGUG